Molecule: microRNA precursor, 97 nt
Filed under: Nicotiana sylvestris (wood tobacco)
Lineage: Eukaryota; Viridiplantae; Streptophyta; Magnoliopsida; Solanales; Solanaceae
Also listed under: 1 other name
Description: MIR6152 microRNA precursor family
Rfam family: MIR6152 microRNA precursor family
Source: Rfam by way of RNAcentral
UGGACAAAUUAUUGUAUUCGAUUGUAUCCAUGGCGUGAAAUAGGGGAUUACAUUGUUUUUAAAACGGAAAGUGAAUCAAUUAACAUAAUAGACUCCU